RNAcentral lists this ribosomal RNA (276 nucleotides) under uncultured prokaryote. Its description in RNAcentral is "partial 16S ribosomal RNA". It matches the Rfam family "Bacterial small subunit ribosomal RNA", at positions 524 to 800 of the family's 1533-position model. The record is from RNAcentral.
UACGUAGGGGACAAGCGUUGUCCGGAUUUACUGGGCGUAAAGGGUGAGUAGGCGGUUAUAUAUGUCAGGUGUAAAAAGCUAUGGCUUAACCAUAGUAAGCACUUGAAACUGUAUGACUUGAGUGCAGGAGAGGUAAGCGGAAUUCCUAGUGUAGCGGUGAAAUGCGUAGAUAUUAGGAGGAACACCGGUGGCGAAGGCGGCUUACUGGACUGUAACUGACGCUGAGUCACGAAAGCGUGGGUAGCAAACAGGAUUAGAUACCCCGGUAGUCCCUGA